AAUGCACCAAUUUGUAAGUCGCUCUGGAUAAGACCGUCUGCUAAAUGACUUAAA
This is a non-coding RNA of Salmo salar (Atlantic salmon), 54 nucleotides long. The record is from Rfam. Lineage: Eukaryota; Metazoa; Chordata; Actinopteri; Salmoniformes; Salmonidae.